RNAcentral lists this ribosomal RNA (644 nucleotides) under uncultured Propionibacteriaceae bacterium. Its description in RNAcentral is "bacterial SSU rRNA". It matches the Rfam family "Bacterial small subunit ribosomal RNA", at positions 81 to 739 of the family's 1533-position model. The record is from RNAcentral. Lineage: Bacteria; Bacillati; Actinomycetota; Actinomycetes; Propionibacteriales; Propionibacteriaceae.
UGUGGGGUGCUCGAGUGGCGAACGGGUGAGUAACACGUGAGUAACCUGCCCUUGACUUUGGGAUAACUUCAGGAAACUGGGGCUAAUACCGGAUAGGAGCUCCUGCUGCAUGGUGGGGGUUGGAAAGUUUCGGCGGUUGGGGAUGGACUCGCGGCUUAUCAGCUUGUUGGUGGGGUAGUGGCUUACCAAGGCUUUGACGGGUAGCCGGCCUGAGAGGGUGACCGGCCACAUUGGGACUGAGAUACGGCCCAGACUCCUACGGGAGGCAGCAGUGGGGAAUAUUGCACAAUGGGCGGAAGCCUGAUGCAGCAACGCCGCGUGCGGGAUGACGGCCUUCGGGUUGUAAACCGCUUUCGCCUGUGACGAAGCGUGAGUGACGGUAAUGGGUAAAGAAGCACCGGCUAACUACGUGCCAGCAGCCGCGGUGAUACGUAGGGUGCGAGCGUUGUCCGGAUUUAUUGGGCGUAAAGGGCUCGUAGGUGGUUGAUCGCGUCGGAAGUGUAAUCUUGGGGCUUAACCCUGAGCGUGCUUUCGAUACGGGUUGACUUGAGGAAGGUAGGGGAGAAUGGAAUUCCUGGUGGAGCGGUGGAAUGCGCAGAUAUCAGGAGGAACACCAGUGGCGAAGGCGGUUCUCUGGGCCUUUC